RNAcentral lists this ribosomal RNA (253 nucleotides) under uncultured bacterium. RNAcentral's name for it is "partial 16S ribosomal RNA". It matches the Rfam family "Bacterial small subunit ribosomal RNA", at positions 524 to 776 of the family's 1533-position model. The record is from RNAcentral.
UACAGAGGGUGCAAGCGUUAAUCGGAAUUACUGGGCGUAAAGAGCACGUAGGUGGUGGUUCAAGUUGGAUGUGAAAGCCCCGGGCUUAACCUGGGAAGGUCAUCCAAGACUGAGCGACUAGAGUAUAGUAGAGGGAAGUGGAAUUUCCGGUGUAGCGGUGAAAUGCGUAGAUAUCGGAAGGAACACCAGUGGCGAAGGCGGCUUCCUGGACCGGUUCUGGCACUGAGGAGCGAAAGCGUGGGGAGCGAUCCGG